This is a long non-coding RNA of Homarus americanus (American lobster), 157 nucleotides long. RefSeq lists it as uncharacterized. NCBI's taxonomy places the organism in Eukaryota, Metazoa, Arthropoda, Malacostraca, Decapoda, Nephropidae. The transcript is spliced from 3 exons. The record is from RefSeq and is a predicted model, not a curated record.
UCUGAGUGCCACCCUCUGUGUUAAGGUCAUAACUCAGUGCCACCCUCUGUGUUAAGGUCAUAGGUUAGUGCCACUGCUGUGUAAGGUCAUAACUCAGUGCCACCCUCUGUGUUAAGGUCAUAGGUUAGUGCCACUGCUGUGUAAGGUCAUAACUCAG